AUAAGAAUUAUUUGAUCAAAAUAAAGGGAAAGGUUUUUAAGUGAAAAUAGAUGUAAAAUUUUAAAUAGGGGGUUGGUUUAAAAAAUUACGGGGGCUAUUUUCAGUAUUUAAAAUUAAAAAAGUUAUUGGGGGGUAACUUUAGUUAAUUUAAGUACAUUGGGAGUAAAAUGAUGUGCCAGCAUUCGCGGUUACUCAUCAUCCUUAGAUCUUUAUUUUUAAUUGGGAGGUUAAUAUAGUAAUUUAUUUUAGUUUAUUUUAAUGGGGGGUGAAAUAGAUUAAAAUUUUUUAUAUAUAGAAAAUCUUCAAAAUUUUGGGUUUAAACUAGGAUUAGAUACCCUAUUAUUUAAAUUUAAUUAAAUUUCUUUUUAGGAGUUUAGUUACAUAAAAAAUUAAAUUGAUUUGGCGGUUUAUUAAACUUUUUAGAGGAACCUGUAAAUUAAAUUGAUAAUCCACGAUUUUUAUUACUUUAAUUUUCUUGUAUAUCUCUAUAAUUGAAUAUAUUUUGAGAUUAAUUUUCUUAUAUAAAAUUUUCACAUUAAUUUAGGUCAAGGUGCAGUUAUAUUGACGGUUUAAUGGGUUACAUUAAUGGUGGUUUGUAGUGAAUUAAUUAAAUUUAUUUCAAAAUUGGAUUUAAAAGUAAUUAAUUUAAUUAAAAUUUUUGAAUAAUGCUCUAAUUUAUGUACAUAUCGCCCGUCAUUCUCAUUUAUUGAGACAAGUCGUAACAAAGUAGGUGUAUUGGAAAAUGUAUCUAG
RNAcentral lists this non-coding RNA (752 nucleotides) under Mahmutkashgaria sulcatus. Lineage: Eukaryota; Metazoa; Arthropoda; Insecta; Hemiptera; Delphacidae. The record is from RNAcentral.